Molecule: RNA transcript, 3350 nt
Organism: Tarenaya hassleriana
Lineage: Eukaryota; Viridiplantae; Streptophyta; Magnoliopsida; Brassicales; Cleomaceae
Exons: 14
Source: RefSeq, a predicted model, not a curated record
AUUCGUCUUUCCUCUCUCUCUCUCUCGAUGGCGAUUUUCUUCUUCGCUAUCUUUUCCAGUUCUUGGAGUUUCUUGCGAAUCUGUUCCUCAUUUCUUAGUUUCUGUUUCUCCCUUCUGAUUUCUACGUUUACCCACCCAGUGAACCCAAUGCCAGAAACCCUAGUUUUUCUACAUUUGCAUGCUUCUUGUUGAUUCCACGCGUGGAACGUUCGAUUUUGUAGAAAAGGCUGCAUCUUUCCUGUUUUUCUUUGAAAGCUCUGUAACGUUUUCCGGUUUAUGUUUUUUCUUUGAUUGCUAGUCACGGUUUAGUGUAGCCUCUGAAUUUUCUUUUCUUGGUUUUUUGGAUUUUUUCUAUUGGCUUCAGGUGGGUUCGGUGUCUCAAUCGGCGUUGAUUCGAUUGACAUCACACAGAUCUUAACUGUUCACUUCAGGGACAUCGAGGAAUCCGCCAUCAAUGAGGAGAAGUUGCUGAUCACGGCGGAGCUCCUCCGUCUCUUCUCGUCUCUGCCUUGUCACAAUGAGAAAUCUGCCUGGUUUCUCAGGUAACCUCGCUCUAUCACACAUCAAAUUCUGCAAAGCUUGAAUAUCUUGUAAGUUUCGCGAAUAUAGACAUUGUACGGUAUAUUUUGACUAACUGCGUGAAGAAUUGGAGUGUUCGUCACAUCUCUGUGUCAAUCGUUGAUUAAUUAUUUCUCUUUUGCAAUUUGAGUUUCUGAUAAUAUUCAGCAGUAAUGGGGGGUCUAGGCUUUCCUUAGAGACAUACAUCGGUUCAUGAGUUCCUCUCGUACAUUGAGAAAGUAGACAUUUGACUGGAACGAAACAGGCAAAGGAAGAAGGUAAGGGGUGCUUCUCUUUGUUUCUUGAUCUCCUACAAUUCAAGAAACUCUACCAUAUUGAUAACUAUUUUGUGAAUCUGGAGCACAAUCCGAGAGUGGUUAUCCCAUGCAUGAGUGCUGCAGUCCACAAGGUGACCCGGGACCUGAGAGCAGUUGCAAGUAGCGGCGUCCAUUUCUCCUCGACGGAAGGGCCCAAGGGAACUGAGUUGCAAUUACCUGCUGUCUUGGAUGAAUUAAUCCCCUAUGAUGGUCCUCUAGGUGCACAUUAUACAGAAGAAGCUAUCUCUCUUCACCUUGGGGCCCCUACUGCUCAAGUACUAUAUUGUUGGUUAAAAUUGUUUGGUAUAUAUGAGCUUCUUGUGAGGGAUUUCAGGUGACCCUGAAAUGGGAAAAAGCAAGCUGUUACAAGCAGCGGCGUCCAUUUCCCCUCGAGGAAUUUAUGUUUAUGUCCACCAAGAAAUCAAGCAUAGAAUACAGAACAAGCUUGUUGGCUCUGAAGAUCCAAUUGCGACAGAAACGAUGCUAGAAAGAAUCACCAAGAACCAGGAGAAUAUAUAGUGGAGACUUUGCAGAGCAGUUCAAAAUGUUCCAUAAUCAGCUUAAGGAUUUCUUCAAUGCUGGAAGCUGAUGUUUUGGAGUUGAUCAAAACAAUGCAUUCCCUGAAUUAUCCGAGAGAAGAAAUUGUGAAGGGCCUUGGAAGUGGCUUGCGAAAUGGUGCUCCGGAUGCUGCCAUUGCAAUGCGACGGAAGUGGCACAUCUGUGAGAUUGGCCUGGAGGACUACAUUUGUGUUCGUUUGGGUUUGGAUGUUAGAGAUCUUGUCAAAAGCCAGUUAGCCAUUUCUUGCUUUGACACCGAAGGGCGGCUAAUUGAGGGAACCGGGUUGCAAUUACCUGGUGUCUUGGACGAAUUAAUCUCCUAUGACGGUCCUCUAGGUGCACAUUAUACAGAAGAAGCUAUCUCACUUCACCUUUGGGUCCCUACUGCUCAAGUUAUGUUCUUUGUUAAAAUUCUUUGGUAUAUAUGAGCUUCAUGGGAGGGAUUUCAGAUCCUGAAGUUCGCAGUGGACCAGUGGUUACCUGGCAUUUACUUCAGUGUGACCCUAGACUGGGAAAAAGCCAGCUGUUGCAAGCAGUGGCUGCGUCCAUUCCCCCUCGAGGAAUUUAUGUAUGUGGUAAUGCAGGGCUCACCGUUACUGUAGUGAAAGAUUCCAUGACAAGUGACUAUGCUUUUAGGCUGUGCCAAUGAUCAUUUCGUAGAUCCUGAAGUUCGCAGUGGUACACCUGGCAUUUACUUUGGAGGUGACCCUAGACUGGGAAAAAGCCAGCUGUUGCAAGCAGCGACGUCCAUUUCCCCUUGAGGAAUUUAUGUUUGUGGUAAUGAGGUGACCCUGGACAUGAUAGCUGUUGCAAGCAGCGGCGUCCAUUUCCCCUCGAGGAAUGUUAUUUCAGUUGACCUUGAAGUUGUAUCUGAUCCGCUUUCUACAUAUGUCAAUUGUGAAGUCUCUGCUUAAGGUUGGUGUUGUUCCGGUGGAUGAUUGUUGUUGAACUACUGAAUGGUAAAAUUGAAGUUCUUGAAACCAAGGAUGCCUCCGGGUGAAACCCUAUGGAAACCUGUAAGUUUUCAGCCUUGUAAAUGUUCUUCUCUGUUUGAAUUUCUGCUUGAAUAGGAACAUUAUCUGUAUAUAAUAAUUUGGGAAAGAUGGUUGAUAUAGGUUUGUUCUGGACUUUAUCGUGCAUCUGAUGCAAUUAGAAAACUCUGUUCUUAAGUCUUAAUAUAUUCCGAUUUGAAAUAAAAAAGUCGAUAAUCUCAAAUGAGAUAAAUCAAGAGGGUCUGUUCUGUUAUGGUCUGUUUUCUAUUGCGAAUCAUGGCUAAAUAGACCCUCGAAUUGGAACGCUAUCUGUGACAUGUCCCGAAACAUAAUGAAAAAUCUGUAUUAUAAAAUGAGUUGUAAGUACAGGGUCUAUUUCAUAGAAAUAAUGGCUAAAUAGACCCUGGAAUGGGAACGCUAUCUGUUACAUGUCCCGAAACAUAGAGUGAAACAUGUAAUCUCAAAUGAGAUCCAAAUACAGGGUCUGUUCUAUCGGGAAUGAUAUGUUGGCUGAACAGACCUUGGAAUGGGAACGCUAUCUGUUAAAUGUCCCGAAACAUAAUGCAAAAGUAUGCAUUCGCAAAUGAGAUGGUCUGUUUUCUAUUGGGAAUAACGGCUAAACAGACCAUCGAAUGGAACGCUAUCUGUGACUCUCCCGAAACACAAUGAAAAAUCAGUAUUAUCAAAUGAGUUGCAAGUACAGGGUCUAUUCUAUUGAAAUAAUGGCUAAGUAGACCCUGGAAUGGGAACGCUAUCUGUUACAUGUCCCGAAAUAUAAUGAAAAGCCUAUAAUCUCCUAUCAGAUGCAAAUACAUGGUCUGUUCUAACGGGAAUGAUAUGAUGUCUAAACAGGCCUUGCAAUGGGAACGCUAUCUGUUAAAUGUCCCGAAACAUAAUGCAAAAGUAUGCAUUCGCAAAUGAGAUG